GCAUGGGCUUGGAUUUAUGGCAGGCCCAUCCCCCUGGGUCUCUCAUAGUGCCCCAUGCCAGAGCACUGUGACUCGGUACCAUUGCCUGGCCUCUGCUUGUGGGCUGCAGGCACUGAAGCAGGCUGAACAGUG
This is a small nucleolar RNA of Phyllostomus discolor (pale spear-nosed bat), 132 nucleotides long. RefSeq annotates it as small nucleolar RNA SNORA42/SNORA80 family. The record is from RefSeq and is a predicted model, not a curated record. The transcript has a single exon. Lineage: Eukaryota; Metazoa; Chordata; Mammalia; Chiroptera; Phyllostomidae.